AAGUGGUACGCGAGCUGGGUUUAGAACGUCGUGAGACAGUUCGGUCCCUAUCUGCCGUGGGCGCUGGAGAACUGAGGGGGGCUGCUCCUAGUACGAGAGGACCGGAGUGGACGCAUCACUGGUGUUCGGGUUGUCAUGCCAAUGGCACUGCCCGGUAGCUAAAUGCGGAAGAGAUAAGUGCUGAAAGCAUCUAAGCACGAAACUUGCCCCGAGAUGAGUUCUCCCUGACUCCUUGAGAGUCCUGAAGGAACGUUGAAGACGACGACGUUGAUAGGCCGGGUGUGUAAGCGCAGCGAUGCGUUGAGCUAACCGGUACUAAUGAACCGUGAGG
Molecule: ribosomal RNA, 331 nt
Filed under: Escherichia coli
Lineage: Bacteria; Pseudomonadati; Pseudomonadota; Gammaproteobacteria; Enterobacterales; Enterobacteriaceae
Description: partial 23S ribosomal RNA
Rfam family: Bacterial large subunit ribosomal RNA
Source: RNAcentral